This 2603-nucleotide unclassified non-coding RNA is filed under the name Hevea brasiliensis (rubber tree). The record is from RNAcentral. Lineage: Eukaryota; Viridiplantae; Streptophyta; Magnoliopsida; Malpighiales; Euphorbiaceae.
GAACAUAAAUAUUAGUACUUUUAUCUGCUCUUCAAGCAAACAAACAAAAUAAUGAUACUAAGAAUACAAAUUUUGAGACACAAUCUUAAAAAUCAUGAACCAACACAAUGGGUAAAGUCUCCGCUAAGUUAAUCAUUGACAUUGUUAACAACACAACCUUCCAGAGCAUCAGAAUAAACAAAUUAAGUAUCAUAAGAGAGAAUUGAUAACUGUGUACAUGAAUCUUCGGCUGAAUACCAAUAAUGCCUCUCUAUCACAAUGCUGCAGAAUUUUUCAGCUUCUGAGAUGGUGUGGAUGAGCCCAAUUUGAUCAAAAUUUAUCUCUGUGCUCCUGGUAAAAAGUUUGCUAGGGAGGGAACCCCUUGUUGCCUCAUUUCUUCUUGUGCUCGCCUCAUUUCCUCAGGAUCUGUUAUAGUACACAACAGAGUAUAUGAUAAGUGAAGAAAUAAGCAACGUCAAAAGUAAUUCAACAAGUGCAAAAAUCCUCACAAAAUUUUAAGGUCAAUGAAGAUAAACACAAAAUAAAAUAAUUGAUUGGCAAUGCACGUGAAAAAGGAAUGACCAAUUAUGUCUUACUCAAAAUAUUGAAUGAUGAGAAAAUACAACAUGAUUUUCCAUGAUAUUCUAAGAAUAAUUGUGCCAAACUUGUGAUUAUUGAAUGCAGGUGAGCAAAAGUAAUGUUGAUUUGCGGAUCCAACUAAUGCAUCAUUUAGCGAAAUCAGCUACUCAGUAUUCAGGCAAUGCAAAGCUCCUGCAAUUCCUCAAGGCCAUGUCUAAAACAUAUUAAUUAAUAAAAUAUAGUACUUUACCCAUGUUCUCCACUAAUUUGGGCAUUAGGAACAUAACCACCAACAUAAAUCCCACCAUAAGACCCAUUGGGCUUUUGACAACAGACAUUAUGGAGAAGGGUUCCCUAAUCUCAUAAUACUGUUCAUCUUUCAGUGGCUCUAAUACCAACUCACUCAGACCUCUCCUGUUCUCUGUCAAUGCCGCCUGAACCUUGCCUGGGAAUCUGGCACUAACAUCAACUCGCACUGGAGAAAAGAAAUAGCCUAUCGCAGCCACUUCAAUUAAAUGAGUCCCUGCUGACACGUUAUAGCUUUUAGCGUACAAGUCAAGGAAUCAAGAUGUAUCCCAGAAAAGAUUUACUAGCAUUCCCUUGAUAACAUAAUACUAAAGUCUAUAUUUGAAUCUAGUUGCAAGUGAAAAAACAGGUGGAAGAAUUCCCCAGAAUGGCUACAACAAGAACAGUAGAAAACCAUGCCCAUGAGAAGAAUAACAGGGGAAACAAAACUAGUAGGAUACAACGAAAAAUAUCCAUCAGGCCUUAGAAAAGUGAUGCUUUGGCCACCAUUAAGUAUAACUUUGACAUUGGAUAGUUUUCCAGGAAAACCAAAUCCUUUUACACCCACACCUGCCAAAUAAAUUCAUCAAUAAUCUAACUGAACUAAAAAGGAAGCAAAUCAGAGAGAUAAACAGCAAGCAAGAUGAAGGGUAACCAUAACUGUUCAUGUUAUUGUGAGGCAAAGUAAACCACAAAUCAAAAUUUUGAAUCAGGUUUGAAAAUAAUUGACUAAUCACUGUAUCUCCAUCAAGAUUUCAACAUCUGUUGUUGAAGCAGGGUGAAAUACAGCACCAGACACCACUUGAGCUGGUAUUGGUUGCCCAAAUCAUGAAUAAAAUUUGUAGCCAUUGGUUAUAAAAGCUAACUUGACAGUUGACAACUAACAUUGUGCGAUAGAUUAUUUUACUAAAUAAACUCAACAGGCAGGAACUAGGCUUCCCUUUUAAGAGGAACUAAAUUAUGGACUUCUACUCUACACCACUUUCUUUUUAUGUAAGAUACUCUCUUCCUCGAAUUCUUCAUUAAGAUUGAAUUGACAAGCAACAGGAAUGGACUAGACAGCUCUUGGAAAUCACCUCAUUUUGGCAUGAAUGAGAAGUCAAGAUCCCAUAAGUCACCGUUCAUUAAUACUGUUCUAAUGUAAUGGAGUCCAAGUUUAAUUUUUUAGAUAAGCCAUGCUUCAUCUAGUUUGUCAUUCACAUUGAAAAUCUACAAUCAACUCUAGCCACUAUGAAAGUGCCACAAGAACUGACCAUUGGUAUUACAAAACGAAACUAUGCAUAAAUCCCCAUCUAAUAUCAGCUAUUUGGUUCAUUUUACUCUCUCCUACUAGAUUUAGAGCUGCAUCUAUAGAAAGAUAUAGAGCAAGAAAAAGCUUUAGCAUGAGAACCCCAAUCAACAAGUUUAACCAAGAAACUUCGCUCAAAUAUGGAACACUUCACUCAACUCCUGAUAGACAAUUCUUUUGGGUUGGGAUUGGGGGGAAGCAGUAGUGUCUUUGGGCAUUCGAAGACCCUAAAACAGAGGCCACUGAAUUACAUUAUAAAUUUAAGUAAAUUUCUACAUGAACUUCAGAAAUAAAAUCAAAGCAGGCGGCAGAAGCGAUUUGGAACUUGAUUGCCACACUAGUAUUGAUCCUCUUUUGGGUAAUAUUGGGUGAAUCCGAAAGGAGGUAUUCUAAAUCCUUAAUUUAAACACUAAUAGAAUGAAGAAAUGAUCUCAAGUUCACGACUGAUCUAAAACAAUUAAAAUAUAUCCCU